Molecule: long non-coding RNA, 209 nt
Organism: Tarenaya hassleriana
Lineage: Eukaryota; Viridiplantae; Streptophyta; Magnoliopsida; Brassicales; Cleomaceae
Exons: 2
Source: RefSeq, a predicted model, not a curated record
UCAUAUUUAUUACUAGGAAAUGCUAACUUUAGGGUUGAUGUAAUGCCUGAGGAAUGUGAUAUGGAACAUGGAUUCUUCUCAUUGCAGGUUUAUUUGUCCUGGGAAUCCUUGCUACCAUCUUGUUGGUGGCCUUACCUGUGAUUCGAUAUGAGUUUUCCCGGUUCUUCUGUCGGUUCAAGCAGAGUUGCGGGAAGAACGGUUGAGUUUGG